CGCCUUUGCUCUUAUACCAACUAUAUCAACAAUUGUGGAAGUACGCCUACGAAUUACGAGUUUUGAUUGCAGUGAUUAUUCCUUUUCAACGUUCUAACUUCUUAAGAAUGCGGUGGAAAAUAGUUCUAUUGAAGCAUAGACUCGAGUAUGUCUACCAAAUGCCAGGAGAAUGCGUAAUGUGGAAAAUGAUCGGACAAGGCACAGUUUAAGUGCUCUGAUCCCUUGUUCACCGGGACCAUUUCCGGAAUGCUCAUACUUUCUUAUCAACGAGUCGCAUAUUCCGUCGGAAGUGCAAUACCCGGAAUCCGUUAGCGCUUGCUUUGGCUCGUUGUAUGUUUCCCGAAUGGUCUGUGUCAAGCAAAAGCAAUUCUGUCUAUCGAAGACGUACUUCCAGGACACUCCGAAAUCUUGAAAGCUAACACUGUUACACAGUAGAACAUCCCAAUCAUCAGCCGGACCGUAUCCAGAUUGGAUGCACUUUUCGUUCCGUUGGACAAUGUUUGUUGCAGCUCAUCGACCGAAAUGUAGGCGCUCCGAUUGCGGUCAGAAAACAACUAUGAUCAAACAGUUUUUAAUAAGGUGUACCUUUCGUUGUAUAAUUUGAUACUCAGUUUGUACUUCAAAUGUGUAACUAUAUAUUAAAUGCUGCAGUGGCGAUGAAAAAUAUGAACAAA
This is a long non-coding RNA of Armigeres subalbatus, 674 nucleotides long. RefSeq lists it as uncharacterized. The record is from RefSeq and is a predicted model, not a curated record. NCBI's taxonomy places the organism in Eukaryota, Metazoa, Arthropoda, Insecta, Diptera, Culicidae. The transcript has 2 exons.